CUUGGAGGGAGGAACCAAGAUGGCCGAAUAGGAACAGCUCCGGUCUGCAGCUCCCAGCAUGAGCGACGCAGAAGACGGGUGAUUUCUGCAUUUCCAUCUGAGGUACAGGGUUCAUCUCACUAGGGAGUGCCAGACAGCGGGCGCAGGACUUGGUACCAGCUGACACACGUGGCUGACAGCAGCUGAUAAUGAAGCCUUUUCUCCCUGGUCCUGAACUACUUCAGUGAAGAAAAUGAACAGUGUCCACUACUCAAUAGAGGUCUCAUUCUAGAAGGAGAAAUAGAACAAAAAAUAAAAAGAGGAAAUUAUAUAUGAAAUCUCCAGAGUGGAGAAAGUUAGACAUUUUAGUCAAGGUCAUGAGGAAACACCUCAGUGAGAAGGGAUGGAAUGUGGCUGUCCAGGCAAGGAGCUUCUUAGGCAAUAGAAAAUCAGUCCUCUCCUGAACUGCAUCUGACUGAUAAUCUCAUAUAUUGACUUAAAAAUAGGGCACUUUCUUCAACUAGGAGACCUUUGCCAGAGCAUGUGAAGACCUUCUUGGCAAACACCAGCCAUGCUCACUUCUCACCAUCCCCCAGUGCCACCUACUCUCUGCUCAACACUCUCCAUGCCCCUCCCAGAGCCAUUGAUCCCGUUCCACCAGAAGAUCACAUCUUAGAAAUGCCCCAGACAUCGUUGGACAUUUCUUCAUGCUUCAUGAGCUUCAAAAUCUUUUAAAAAUUUAAUGCGCUUAUGAAUCUCUAACAAGCUCCUAAAUAACUUGUAUGCUAUUGUUAAAAAACUCCAAAUAUUAAUAAGUAUUAGUAAAAUGUUGCUGUUAAUAGUAAAUCAGCUAAGCGUCAAAAUGCUACCUGGAAAAGCAAGCAGAAUAGACAUUCCAAUGUUAAAGGGCAUCAAGAGCAAGACUCUUAAAGAGCCUAUGAAAUCAUUUAAGUGUGAGAUAAAAAGGUUGGGAAUUUCAUACAUAUUUAGCAUUGCCUGAGAAAUGUCUCUAAGUUUUUCUUUUUUCACUCUAGAAUAUUACCAAAGUUGCAGUUAAUUACAUUUCUGCUGCUACAAAAACAUUUUUUCAUGCCUCAGUGAUUCAUGAAUCUUCCAUUGUGUGUAUUAGGCAGCAGCUCUUGUAGACAAUGACAGAGAAUAAAAUGCUUCCAGAGGAAACACGAUUCAGGUGUCUGUUUUUGGGUUAUGCGGUGUCAGAUUGGUCCCAUUGUGCUUCAGAGAGCAUUUGUUAUUUUGUGAUAUGGCUACAGACAGGUUUAAGAUCCAGAUCAUCAUCUUACUUCAAAGAGUGUGAAUAAAUGAUUCAAGAAAGAAAAAUAAGAAUGGAGUAUUUGGAUAACAAUAUAUUCUCAAUUUAAAACGGUUUAUGAAGGGAACAAACAUACCAUGCAAAUGAGAAGCAGUUUUAGAAGGGGAAGUGUUGUGCUUCAUCACAACUAAUUAUUACUUGAAUAUUUAUUAGUAGUAUGAGAAACUAAAUGUCUAUGGCCAUACCACCCUGAACGUGCCGGAUCUCAUCUGAAAAGGAAAAAAUAGCUUCUACUUUCAAUGGUGAGAUAUAAACAAAAGUUCUCUUUCAUUACGCUUAACAAAAAAUGUGCAUCUUUAAAUUUUUUUUUUUUUUUUUGAGAUGGAGUCAUGCCCUGUCACCCAGGCUGGAGUGUAGUGGCCCGAUCUCAGCUCACUGCAAGCUCUGCCUCCCAGGUUCAUGUGAUUCUCCUGCCUCAACCUCCCCAGUAGCUGGGACUACAAAUGCACACCACCAUGCCCUGUUA
RNAcentral lists this long non-coding RNA (1775 nucleotides) under Homo sapiens (human). RNAcentral's name for it is "HSALNT0048351". Lineage: Eukaryota; Metazoa; Chordata; Mammalia; Primates; Hominidae. The record is from RNAcentral.